Molecule: ribosomal RNA, 401 nt
Rfam family: Bacterial small subunit ribosomal RNA
UGGGGAAUAUUGCACAAUGGGGGAAACCCUGAUGCAGCGACGCCGCGUGAGGGAAGAAGGUUUUCGGAUUGUAAACCUCUGUCCUCAGGGAAGAUAAUGACGGUACCUGAGGAGGAAGCCACGGCUAACUACGUGCCAGCAGCCGCGGUAAUACGUAGGUGGCAAGCGUUGUCCGGAAUUACUGGGUGUAAAGGGAGCGUAGGCGGGAAGAUAAGUUGAAUGUUAAAACUAUCGGCUCAACCGAUAGUCGCGUUCAAAACUAUCUUUCUUGAGUGGAGUAGAGGUUGGCGGAAUUCCUAGUGUAGCGGUGAAAUGCGUAGAUAUUAGGAGGAACACCAGUGGCGAAGGCGGCCAACUGGGCUCUAACUGACGCUGAGGCUCGAAAGCGUGGGUAGCAAACA